GAGAACCCGCCCCCUCUUCGCCACGCGAUUGGUCGCUCACGCUGUCUCUCCGGCGCCUCGCCUGCCCAUUGGGCGAGGCGGGGGCGCCCUCCGCCCCUCCCGGUUCUGUCGGUUGAGACGAGCCGUGAGUAAAUAGAAGCAGGAGCUCAAAAUGGCGGAGCCGUCGAGCCCGAUUCGCGGUGCGGCGUCGUCCGAGCAGGAGCCGUUCGGCACCAGACCAGCCCCAGACGCGAAGGUGUCCCGUGGGUCCCAGCCAGCCGCCAAGAAGAUGAAGGGAGCCGAAGAGAGGAGCCUGAAGGGUACUAAGCGCGUCAACGGUGAAGGGGGCGGCGGCAACGGCGGGAGCGGCAAGCAGUCGCUGCCGCUGCCAGCGGUCGUGCCGAGCUACAGCAGCCCCGCGGCGUGGGGUUUCCCCGCGCUCCCUUCUGGCCCCUCCGGCAGCGCGGGGGGCUUCGCUUUCCCUUCUCCGCUGCCCCGGAAGCUGCUGUCGCCCGCCGUUUUGCUGCCGUCGUCCGCCUCCCCCUCCUCUUCCUACCAGCAGCACCAGCACCGCCACCACCGGCACCGCCUGGCCCUGGCCGGCGAGGCGGGAGGCUGCAGCGGCGGGGCGGCCGGCGCUAGCGGCGGGAGCGCCAAGGCGAAGAGGCCCAAGGAAAAGCGGGACAAGGAGAGGAGGAAGCACGGAGCCCUGCCCGUGGUCGCAGCGGUGGGAGAUGGCGGCGGGGCCUUGAGUGCGGCAGGCCGGGAGGAGAACGGCGAGGUGAAGCUGCUGCUGCCGAAAGCGUAUGCUUUCCCAGUCUCCAGUGACCUUAAACCAGAUGUUGAUGCUUUUGUGUUUACACUGAAAUAUGAAGAACUGGAAACAUUCACCCCAUCACCUAGUUCAAGCAAGUUUCCUUUCUUUCAAAGGAAAGAUAAAUUACAGCUGUUAAUAGGCUUAGGUUACUUUGAUUGCGGUCUGCACCUGUACUUGGAGGAUGAGCCAAGCUUGUAAAGAACACACAUUAAUAUUAAUUAGCCUUUUUGUCUAUUGAUCACGUUGUCUUUCUGCCUUACUGCAUUUUCCACUAAUUUCCACUAGUAUCUUAGUCUUGGAUUCAUUUACGUGUGAGUAUUUUUUUUUAAUUACUUGUUCUUUUUGGUCAGCAUGUUGCAUGUACCAUUUUGUUGUUGGGAUCUCAAUUGCUGGUGUACAAGUGGGCUUUAAGUUUGUCAUUUCAGUCCUUUUAAGUAUUUAAAUUUUUUUUUGUUCCUGUCCAAAAAAUGACUUAAGAAAAGUCUGCAGAAAUGAUACUUGGUGCAUGUUUAAUGUUGGUGAAGCUGCCAUGUCUUCACGUAUAUCUGCUAAGAAACUCACCCUUUUCUUUCUAGCAAAGCCAUGCAAAUCGUAACUGUAUUCAUUCAGAUUGUCAUACUGUCCUACCACUGUUAUGUAAUCAUGUUAAUGAAUCUUUGAGAGCAAUAUUACAAUAACAGGGUGAAAUGUUUUUUGCACAUUGGUAAUAGAAAUGGUGCCAGCUGGAUAUAAUUAAUUGAACUCUCCUGGAAGCAGUGAUUCAUCUUUAAAAAUUCUGCACCUUGUAUCUUGAAAAGAUAUUUUCUUUGAACUUGUAUACUGACGGGCACAAGUACUUGACUUUUUAGUUGCUGUUUGCUCAGAACAGAUUUUUCUUAGCUUUCAUUUAGUUCUUGAAAUCCUGAGUACAGGCAACAACAUUUUCCAGGGCAAAUGAUACCUGUUUGGCAGCUGGGUCUCCACCUUUCUGUUUAGAGGAAGUGGUUUCUGUAGCUAAAAUUUUGUGGCGUAGUUUCCUUUAUUGAUGAGAAACUUUAUAUUCAUUAAACUGUAUUUUUACAGAGAAGGCUGUAAGAAAGUAAAGGAUGCAUAGAGUCCUGCUGAGAGCAGCCAGCCUUUUUAAAGUGGUUCUGUAUUUGCCUGUAGAUCAAAGGGCAGGUUUGUGCUGUUAAUCUUGGGAAUAAUUUACUUUUCAGAGAGGAAAGGAGAAAUACAGUAAUGAUGCAGGGAGAAUGACU
This 2034-nucleotide long non-coding RNA is filed under the name Falco tinnunculus (common kestrel). Its description in RNAcentral is "lncRNA (ENSFTIG00000000814.1)". Lineage: Eukaryota; Metazoa; Chordata; Aves; Falconiformes; Falconidae. The record is from RNAcentral.